RNAcentral lists this transfer RNA (87 nucleotides) under Parcubacteria group bacterium. RNAcentral's name for it is "tRNA-Leu". It matches the Rfam family "tRNA". From Rfam's summary of the family: Transfer RNA (tRNA) molecules are approximately 80 nucleotides in length. RNAcentral also lists the same sequence under 1 other name. The record is from RNAcentral.
GCCCGGGUGAUGGAAUUGGUAGACAUAGGGGACUUAAAAUCCCCGGGCCGCAAGGCCAUGCGGGUUCGAGUCCCGCCCUGGGCACCA